CGGACGGGUGAGUAACGCGUGAGGAACCUGCCUUUCAGAGGGGGACAACAGUUGGAAACGACUGCUAAUACCGCAUAACACAUAGGUGUCGCAUGGCAUUUAUGUCAAAGAUUUAUCGCUGAAAGAUGGCCUCGCGUCUGAUUAGCUAGUUGGUAGGGUAACGGCCUACCAAGGCGACGAUCAGUAGCCGGACUGAGAGGUUGGCCGGCCACAUUGGGACUGAGAUACGGCCCAGACUCCUACGGAAGGCAGCAG
Molecule: ribosomal RNA, 255 nt
Filed under: uncultured bacterium
Lineage: Bacteria
Description: partial 16S ribosomal RNA
Rfam family: Bacterial small subunit ribosomal RNA
Source: RNAcentral